This 432-nucleotide ribosomal RNA is filed under the name uncultured bacterium. RNAcentral's name for it is "partial 16S ribosomal RNA". It matches the Rfam family "Bacterial small subunit ribosomal RNA", at positions 29 to 506 of the family's 1533-position model. The record is from RNAcentral.
AACGAACGCUGGCGGCAUGCCUAACACAUGCAAGUCGAACGAGACCUUCGGGUCUAGUGGCGCACGGGUGCGUAACGCGUGGGAACCUGCCCUUAGGUUCGGAAUAACUCCCCGAAAGGGGUGCUAAUACCGGAUAAUGUCUUCGGACCAAAGAUUUAUCGCCUUUGGAUGGGCCCGCGUUGGAUUAGCUAGUUGGUAGGGUAAAAGCCUACCAAGGCGACGAUCCAUAGCUGGUCUGAGAGGAUGAUCAGCCACACUGGGACUGAGACACGGCCCAGACUCCUACGGGACGCAGCAGUGGGGAAUAUUGGACAAUGGGCGAAAGCCUGAUCCAGCAAUGCCGCGUGAGUGAUGAAGGCCUUAGGGUUGUAAAGCUCUUUUACCCGGGAUGAUAAUGACAGUACCGGGAGAAUAAGCUCCGGCUAACUCCGU